This is a long non-coding RNA of Mytilus trossulus (common blue mussel), 733 nucleotides long. RefSeq lists it as uncharacterized. The transcript has 3 exons. The record is from RefSeq and is a predicted model, not a curated record. Lineage: Eukaryota; Metazoa; Mollusca; Bivalvia; Mytilida; Mytilidae.
CGUGUGCAUUGUUUUUCUUUCGAAUAACUUCCUGGUUUGAAACAAAAUUGUCACACCGGUUUAUGCGACUUUAAAAAUAGAACAAACAGAUGUGAUAUAGCAUUAUAACAGUAUGCAACAGUAUGUUCUCGAACUUCAAUUUUGAACAGAUCCCAUUGAUGGCCUAUUUGAUCAACCGCAUAUGGCCUUGACAUUACUCAGACACUGACCCAGAUUCUGAUUAGCAAAUUGAAGUGGUAUGUCUGAACACCAGAUGUUAUUAAAAGAAAAGUUAAACAAUUUCAGUGAUGGUUUUGUGAUAUACCAUAUUCCAAAUAUUAGCCAGAAUAGAAAUGUAUCAUUAUUGGAUUUACCUGUGAAUGUUAAAAAAACGUGGAUGGCUAUACAUUUAGUGUCAUGUUCUAAAAAUAGAUUUGGAUUUUCCUUUUCUAUACAUUGAAAACAAGUGUGAAGAAUAUUACCACUCUGGAUUAUAAUUUAAACGUGGCAUAAAUGACUGAUGGAUUUUUUUUCACAUGGAGAAAAAAAUGUUGGAUAUAGAUAUGUGUAUUUCUUGCAAUUUCAAUAUCAAUGAUGUGGUUUUUACCAAAGAUACAUUCAAAUUCUAAUGUUCUAUUUAUAGCGUACCAUACUAACAGGUGAUUGUUUGAAACAUAAACAUUUUUUAUGAUAAACAUAUAUUUGACAUUCAAAUAGUCAUAAUCUUUUGAAAGUAUGCAAUCUUGCAUUGCAU